This 468-nucleotide ribosomal RNA is filed under the name uncultured bacterium. RNAcentral's name for it is "partial 16S ribosomal RNA". It matches the Rfam family "Bacterial small subunit ribosomal RNA", at positions 28 to 507 of the family's 1533-position model. The record is from RNAcentral.
GACGAACGCUGGCGGCGUGCUUAACACAUGCAAGUCGAACGGAAAGGCCCUGCUUUUGUGUGGUGCUCGAGUGGCGAACGGGUGAGUAACACGUGAGUAACCUGCCCUUGACUUUGGGAUAACUUCAGGAAACUGGGGCUAAUACCGGAUAGGAGCUCCUGCUGCUUGGUGGGGGUUGGUAAGUUUCGGUGGUUGGGGAUGGACUCGCGGCUUAUCAGCUUGUUGGUGGGGUAGUGGCUUACCAAGGCUUUGAGGGGUAGUCGGCCUGGGAGGGUGACCGGCCACAUUGGAACUGAGAUACGACACAGACUCCAACUGGAGGCAGCGGUGGAGAAUAUUACACAGUGGGCGGAAGCAUGAUGCAGCAACGCCGCGUGCGGGAUGACGGCCUUCGGGUUGUAAACAGCUGUCGCCUGAGACGAAGCGUGAGUGACGGUAACGGGUAAAGAAGCACCGGCUAACUACGUG